This is a non-coding RNA of Phoenix dactylifera (date palm), 6089 nucleotides long. The record is from RefSeq and is a predicted model, not a curated record. NCBI's taxonomy places the organism in Eukaryota, Viridiplantae, Streptophyta, Magnoliopsida, Arecales, Arecaceae.
AAAAAAAAAAAAAAAGGAGAAAAAAGAAAGAAUGUGACACCCUAUGUUUGCGCGUGGGCCAGUUCAGUGGAGCUAGCCACGAUCCUCGCCGCAAGGGAGGACAGGGCCGCGCGACAUCGCCGGAGCCCCGCCCCUCUUCUUUCCUUUCCGGCAAAUCUCCUUGCUGUGCUCCGAUUUUGGAAGGAUAGCAUGAGGAGAUCGCGGAAUUCGCAGUCUCCUCCCUCUAUUUCUUUCCUUCCUUGUCUGCUUGGGCUCACCGAGCCCUUCUUCCUCCUCCAUCUCUCUCCUUUCUCCUCUCCCUUCCCUUCUUUCUUCCUCUGCUCGGGCUCACGGUGCCCUGUCUUCGAGCCGCCGGAAUCGUGGCCGCAGCGCCUCCUCGGAGCCGAGGUGCAGCGGAUUUGCCCAACUGAACCUAGUGAUCUUUAGACGAAUCGUGGUAAGUGACCCAGGCACAAAUCUUAUUAAUUUUAAAUUACUGAUUAAUUUUAGAUAUAAAAUUAUGAAUUAUAUUUGACAUGAUUGAUCUUACAUUUUUUAAAAAAAUUAGGAUCAAGCAUAUGAUUGUAAAUGUUCCAUAUUUUUUGGCCCAAUAACAUUCUUAUUAAAUAUUUUAUUAUAAAUGAUUUAUGUAUGAAUUAUAAUUAUGAAAAAUUGUAUGAAAAUGAUAUAUGUGGCAUGAUUAUGCAAUUUAGAAAUUUUGCGAUGCCAUUUAGCACUUCUAACCUAUUUACAAAGAUAUAAUUUAUAAAAAUAUAAAAUAUUUUAUGAGUUCUCAGAUAGCCAUGACCGCCUCAAGAAGUGGAAGCCAAUCGACACCCUAGAGCUAGCAUCAACGAAAAAGGUUCUCUGCCAACAGGUUAAAGUUAAUAACGAAUAUAAACUAUGAUAUUUUAUCAAUUACGAAAAUGACCCUGUCAUGGGUUAUAGUAACUGCAGUAUGCAAAAUCUAUGAGCACUAUUUUAAAUAAAAGUAUGGAUACAUGGCAAAUAUUUGACAAUCACGAAUAUUUUAAAUUGCACCUUCAGCUUUAUGAUCUUGCAUAAUUUAUACAUACAUGAUUGAUUUGCUUCGACAUAGUUUGUUAUUAUAUUUAUGAAAUAUUUUACUUUACUAUAUAAUUUUUACUUUCUAAAUGAUUCAUUGAAUUAUGUGAAAAUUUUACUUACUAGCCGCAAAGCUCAUUUGUCUCUUGAUGUAUUUUUUUCUAAAUAAUUAAGGUUGCUAGGAGUGGAGAAGAAUAAAUGAAUGAAUGAUAAAUGAAUAGAGCUUGAAAUAUAGUUGCAAGCGAGCAAUAAGUAUAGUUAUGACUAUCAAAUUUGGGUUACGUAGUUGAGAAAAUUGAAAUGUUGAAUUUAGAUGCUCUGUACCCAUUUCUUUUCGUUUAGCAUUGAACAAAUUUUUUUUUAUCAUGUUAUAUAAAUUUUUGUUGUGGGUUUCGUGUUAUUGUGGAUAAUAUUUUAUGGUAGUACGGCCAUAUUAUGCUUCGGAUCAAGAGCGUGACAAUAAGAGGGAGAAAAAAAAAUUAGAUUGAUCCUAUUGAAUAUUAUCUGAUCUUUUAUCUUUUAAAAUAGAGAUUAUUCUGUCAUCAAAAUAGACUGACAAACAAGUAGGACAACAGGACUUAAAAAAUGUAUAAAUCGUCAAUAGGGAUCUACCCAUCGUCAAACCUAACCGGGAGCUCUCCAUAACUACUCAAUAAUUGAGGCCAAGCGCACCAGCCAUCAACUUCCUAAUAAUUGAGGCCAAGCGCACCAACCAUCAACUUCCUAAUAAUUGAGGCCAAGCGCACCAACCAUCAACUUCCUAAUAAUUGAGGCCAAGCGCACCAACCAUCAACUUCCCCAAUAAUUGAGGCCAGCCAUCCCAGGAAAGCAAGUCUGGAGGAAAUCUCUCUCUCUCUCUCUCUCUCUCUCUCUCUCUCUCUCUCUCUCUUCUGUGGGAGGUGCUUUUGUCCACCGAUCGAUAUGGAGGCACUGCUAUCAGUUGGAGGAUACAUCGCUUCCGCCGUGCUGGACAACUUGGUCAGCCAAGUGAGCUCUGAUGCCAUCCAGCAGUUCGGGCGCACUCGGGGCUUCAGGAUGACCUCAGGAGGCUGCGGACUACCCUGCUACGGACACGCUUCAUCCUUAAGAGCGCCGAGAAGAGGCGCACCAAAGACGACGACCUUGCCCAAAUCCUCCAAGAACUCAAAGACGCCGCCUACGAUGCCGAAGACUUGCUGGACGAAUUCGAAUACCAAGUCCUGCAGCAAAAGGCUGAAAGCCAAGAGAAUCAGAGAGGUAACUUCUUAUCUUCUUCUCUUACACUUGCCAGAAAUUUGUUCAAUCGUGACGGUGAUGUUGUGGCUAAAGUGAGGGAGGUUAUGAGGAGGUUAGCUAGCAUUGCUAAUGAUAUGGAAAAAGUCCAUCAGACUCCUGGAUUUAAAUGAUGAAGGAAAAAAAUAUCGGAAAUCGGGGAGACGAGAGACGAGCUCAUUCCUAACUGAACCCGAAGUGUUUGGGCGAGAAAAAGAAAAAGAACAGGUGAUAAACCUGCUGUUAAAUUCGAGAGAUGCAACUGAACCCGGUGAUGAUCUUGUCCGUGUUUGUUCAAAGAGACAAAAGAAAGACAAUAUUUUUGUUUUGCCAGUGGUCGGUAUCGGAGGGAUCGGAAAACUACUCUUACUCAGCUCAUUUACCAUGAUCCGAAGGUGAAUGGUUCUUUUGAUUUAAAGAUUUGGGUUUGUGUGUCCGAUAAUUUUGAUGUGAAAAGGCUAACUAAAGAGAUAAUAGGGUCUGUUACCCGGGAGAGACUCUGUGAUCACCAAAAUUUGAAUCGUCUCCAAGAGAUCCUUAAGGAGAAGAUAAUGUCAAAAAGAUUCUUGCUCGUCCUUGAUGACGUCUGGAAUGAUGACCACAACGAAUGGGAUCAUUUAUGUGCGCCAUUAAGGUCCGGGCUGCAGGGAAGCAAAAUCUUGGUAACAACUAGAUCUCAAAAGGUUGCAGAGAUGAUGGGCACAAUUGAGGCAGUCUUCUUAGAGGGUUUACCAAAUGAUGCCUAUUGGGAAUUUUUCAGUAGACUUGCAUUUGGUUCUCAGAACCCCAAAGAACAUCCUGAGUUGGAAGCUAUUGGCAGGAAGAUUGCUUGACAGGCUGAAGGGAUCUCCACUUGCAGCAAAGACGCUAGGAGGCCUAUUGGAUUUAGACUUGGAUGAGAGCACUGGGAGAACUAUCAUGGACAGUAAAAUAUGGGAACUAAAACAACGUGAAGAUGGCAUUAUGCCGGUCCUACAGUUGAGCUAUCAGUAUUGCCUGGAUAUCUGAAGCAGUGUGUUGCAUAUUGUUCUAUAUUUCCUAAAGGUUAUUUCUACAGAAAAGACGAGCUAGUCCAAGUCUGGAUGGCACAAGGCUUUAUUGUACCUCAAGGAAAUGUGCGGAUUGAAGAGGUAGGGAGUGAGUAUUUCGAUGAUUUACUUGGCAGAUCUUUCUUUCAGCAUAAAUGGAAUGAUGCAUAUGGGAUACAUGAUUUGAUACAUGAUCUGGUACAGGUCUGUCUCAGUCAGCGAAUAUCUAAGAAUAGAAGAUGGCAAGUGGCAGAAAAUCCCCAGCAGGCUUCGACACUAUCAAUAUAUACUCUGAAUCUGGAGCCAAGUAAGCUAAUGGACUUUGGCAAUUAUAAGAAUCUACGCACCCUUGUUUUCUACAAGGGUUUUGUAUGAUACAAACUUUUGUUCUAUACUUGAUUGCUUGUUCACAGUGUCAACAAAAUCCGUGUGUUGAAGUUAAAAGAAUGUCCGAUCACAGAGUUGCCUGAAAGUAUUGGCAUUUAAAACAUCUUCGUACCUUGAUAUCUCUUUCACCAAUAUUCGGAGGUUGCCUGAAUCACUGUGUAGCCUUUACAAUCUUCAGGUGUUAAAAAUAUUUUCCUGCCCAAUUGAGAAUUUUCCUACAUGCAUGACCAACCUAGUUAAAUUAAGGCAGGCUUAAAGUAGAUGAGAGGACAAAAUUCGGGUUGGCUGAUAUCAGGAAGUUAACGUCUCUCCAAGAGUUGCCGGUAUUCGAAGUUGUAAAGCAGAGAGGGCACAAGAUUGAAGAAUUAAAGACAUGAUACAGCUUUCGUGGACGAAUUUGCAUUAAAAAUCUUUGAGAGCGCAAAAGUGAGGAAGAGGCCACGUCAGGCUAAGCUAAUAAUAAACAGUACCUUGAUGAUUUGGCCUUGGUAUGGAAUAUUGAUAGAGGCACCAGCUCAGCAAACGAUGAUAAUGUACUGAAGGCCUCAAACCACCAUUCCAAUCUCCGAAGGCUGGAAAUCAGAAACUAUGGCGGUGUCCGAUUUCCAAGUUGGCUGGAGCACAAUCGCUUCAAAUAUUUGAAAGCUAUUUGCCCUAGAAAUAUCCAAUGCUGCGGGCAACUUCCAUCGCUUGGACAGCUGCCAUCGCCUCGAGAUUCUGUGCAUCAAAAUAUGCAUGCGGUGAAGCAAGUUGGUCAUGAAUUCUAUGGCUCUCCAGAGGUCCAAGGAUUCCUAUUGCUGAAAGAGCUGGAGAUUUCAGACAUGCUGGAAUGGGAAGAAUGGUUUGGCGCAGAAGGUAUCCAGUAUUUCCUCGACUGCUUAUGCUCCAUAUCCAGAAUGUCCCCAGCUAAGGGGUUUACCCUGCCACCCUCCCUCUCUCAGAAAUUUGUCCCUAGAGAAUGUGGGAAUAAAUAUGCUCCAGAAGCAUGGGACGGAGACCAUGGUUUUUACUGAGAGAGCAGUAUGACAGAGCGCAGCAGAAGCAGCGGCAGGACCUCUUCAAUUUAUCACAUGCGUAUCUGCCGGUGUCCAAACCUGGUAAAUCUGGGAAAAUGGCUUUUGUCGCACCACCCUGCCGACUAUCAGGUUCUUGAAGUAUUAUUGACUGUCAAAAGGUUGUGCGGGUUGCCAAAUGGAAAGGUUUAAGACUUUCUCUCCUCGAGUAUUUGACAAUCAUGGAUUGUCCCUUGCUCCGUCCCCAGUGCAGCUGAUCCUUCCUCUUCUCUCCGAGAUCUUACAUUGGGUUUCCAUGUGGUCAUCUGGAUGAGUCACUACCGGCUGCUUGCACAACCUCACCUCUCAACCUGGUUGAAGUACAAACCGCUGCCACACGUAACAUCUCUUCCAGGAGAAGUGCUCGGUCACAUGAUUGCUCUCAGAGUUUUGACUAUUUGGGACUGCGGAGAACUGAGGUCACUAGGGGACUUACGAGCUCUCAGAUCUCUUGAAAUUUUGGAUAUAGGAAAGAUGUCCUCGGCUCACAGAUUUAGCGAAUGAGGAAGAGCAGGGCGAGGUUCGGCACAUCUUCGCUUCCUGCGCAUCGACGACACUGCCCUGGUCAAAGCGCUGUUCUCCACAAUCACCCCACCUCACUUGAAACACUCCAAAUCUGGGACUCACUGACUCAUUUUUGUUCGUGGAGAGGAGCAAUUAUGGUUGCAAGGACUCAAAUCUCUCAGAGAGCCUGUCUCUUAGAAAUUGGCAACAAUCUCAGUCCCUGCACAGAGUUGCAUAGCCUUUCCACCUCCGAAUUUGGAGAUAACAAAUUGCCCUGAGAUCCGCUCGCUACCAGAAAAGGGCCUGCCUUCAUCCCUAGAAAGUUACAUUUCGAUAAUUGUCAUCCGGGUGCUGACUGCGCAAUUGCAAAGUCACAGGGAAAUGAUGAAAAAGUCGCAUAAACGGAUUUCGUAGCCUACGAGACAGGGUCUCCGUCCAUUGCUGACACACAACUUCUACAGUAUUCAACUCUCUCGCAUGGUAUAGCUGCGGCACCAACUCUCCACGUUACAACCGAUUCUCUCGUCAACAUGUGCCUGGAAUAUAUUUUUGUGCAAACAGAUGCCCGUUACUCUUUGUACGUAGCCAGCGGCAGCAAAUGGAUUGUUUCUUAAAAAGCGAAAAAAUGGAUUGUUUGUAUUUAUGAUGAACCGCAGUGCUUGUAAAUAUAUGUAGACUGAUGAUUAUAGUAGAAAGUGCGUGAGAAUAAGUAGGCAUUUUUAUUGAUGAAAAGUGAGCCCUUUUUGAAACUGAGACUUAUCUUGUACUGUAUCUAUUAUAUGGUUGAUAUUAAUAAACAUAAUAGCCGCAGUAGGCUUAGCCC